GACGAACGCUGGCGGCGUGCCUAAUACAUGCAAGUCGAACGCAGUGGGGACGGGUGAGGAACACGUGGGCAACCUCCCAUCAGAGGGGAUAACACUUGGAAACAGGUGCUAAAUCGCUACUGAUGGAGGGACCCGGGGUGGAUUAGCUAGUUGGUGGGGUAACGGCCCACCAAGGCCACGAUGCAUAGCCGACCUGAGAGGGUGACCGGCCACACUGGAACUGAGACACGGCCCAGACUCCUACGGGAGGCAGCAGUAGGGAAUCUUGGACAAUGGACGAAAGUCUGACGGAGCAAGGCGGCGUGGAUGAAGAAGGUUUUCGGUUCGUAAAGCUCUGUUGUUGAGGAGGCGGUAUCUAACCAGAAAGCCACGGCUAACUACGUGCCAGCAGCCGCGGUAAUAC
RNAcentral lists this ribosomal RNA (403 nucleotides) under uncultured bacterium. RNAcentral describes it as "partial 16S ribosomal RNA". It matches the Rfam family "Bacterial small subunit ribosomal RNA", at positions 28 to 526 of the family's 1533-position model. The record is from RNAcentral.